AUACUUACCUGGCAGGGGAGAUACCAUGAACACAAAGGUGGUUUUCCCAGAGUGAGGCUUAUCCAGUGCACUCCAGAUGUGCUGGCCCCUGCAAUUUCCCCAGAUGUGGCAAACUCCACUGCAUAAUUUGUGGUAGUGGGGACUGCAUUCACACUUUCCCCUG
This is a small nuclear RNA of Cebus imitator (Panamanian white-faced capuchin), 163 nucleotides long. Its record names the gene U1. It matches the Rfam family "U1 spliceosomal RNA". Rfam says of the family: U1 is a small nuclear RNA (snRNA) component of the spliceosome (involved in pre-mRNA splicing). Its 5' end forms complementary base pairs with the 5' splice junction, thus defining the 5' donor site of an intron. Lineage: Eukaryota; Metazoa; Chordata; Mammalia; Primates; Cebidae. The record is from Ensembl.